This 444-nucleotide ribosomal RNA is filed under the name uncultured bacterium. RNAcentral's name for it is "bacterial SSU rRNA". It matches the Rfam family "Bacterial small subunit ribosomal RNA", at positions 337 to 798 of the family's 1533-position model. The record is from RNAcentral.
UCCUACGGGGGGCUGCAGUGGGGAAUAUUGGACAAUGGGCGAAAGCCUGAUCCAGCAAUGCCGCGUGCGUGAUGAAGGCCUUCGGGUUGUAAAGCGCUUUCGCCCACGACGAUGAUGACGGUAGUGGGAGAAGAAGCCCCGGCUAACUCCGUGCCAGCAGCCGCGGUAAUACGGAGGGGGCUAGCGUUGUUCGGAAUUACUGGGCGUAAAGGGUGCGUAGGCGGCUGUCCAAGUCGGGUGUGAAAGCCCCGGGCUCAACCCGGGAUGUGCAUCCGAGACUGGGCGGCUAGAGUUCGGGAGAGGUGAGUGGAAUUCCCAGUGUAGAGGUGAAAUUCGUAGAUAUUGGGAAGAACACCGGUGGCGAAGGCGGCUCACUGGACCGACACUGACGCUGAGGCACGAAAGCGUGGGGAGCAAACAGGAUUAGAUACCCUGGUAGUCCUC